CCUACGGGAGGCAGCAGUGGGGAAUAUUGGGCAAUGGGCGCAAGCCUGACCCAGCAAUGCCGCGUGAAGGAAGAAGGCUUUCUGGUUUUAAACUUCUUUUUUCAGGGACGAAGCAAGUGACGGUACCUGACGUAUAAGCCACGGCUAACUACGUGCCAGCAGCCGCGGUAAUACGGAGGUGGCAAGCGUUAUCCGGAUUUACUGGGUGUAAAGGUUGUGUAGGCGGGGAAGCAAGUCAGAGGUGAAAACCACGGGCUCAACCUGUGCCCUGCAUUUGAAACUGUUUUUCUUGAGUGCUGGUGAGGCAAGCGGAAUUCCGGGGGUAGCGGUGAAAUGCGUAGAUAUCCGGAGGAACACCAGUGGCGAAGGCAGAUUGCUGGACAGUAACUGACGCUGAGGCGCGAAAGCGUGGGGAGCAAACAGGAUUAGAUACCCCAGUAGUC
Molecule: ribosomal RNA, 443 nt
Filed under: uncultured bacterium
Lineage: Bacteria
Description: partial 16S ribosomal RNA
Rfam family: Bacterial small subunit ribosomal RNA
Source: RNAcentral